RNAcentral lists this long non-coding RNA (732 nucleotides) under Androctonus crassicauda. The record is from RNAcentral. Lineage: Eukaryota; Metazoa; Arthropoda; Arachnida; Scorpiones; Buthidae.
CACCAUCCUGCUGGCACCUCCGCCGUAGUGGGCAGCCUGUGGAAGGGCUUGUUUGCUCCGCCAUUUUUAGUGUUCUUCCUGAAUGGAAAGUGUGGCGUCAUCUGUCGACCAAAAAACUAAGCGGCCAUAGAGUCUGUAGUACACGCCCCAUAUCUUAUCUACCAUAAUGGAUGGCCCGUGAUUUAAACGGGCCGGAAAGAAUAAAAGACGCCUUUCUUCCGCUAACUGUCGCUUCGACGUCUAAAACCCGGCUAUUUAGCGCGGUGCAUCGGAUAAUUGAAGAAAGAAACAAUGGGUUCGGAUGAAAUAUAUUCAUUUUAAUUUAAUAUAUGUGUAGAAUAUUCAGCAGGCCGUACGACUUUUUGCUCGACAGAUGACACCAUUUUCCACGUACCAGAAUAUUCAGUGGCUGAACCCGGCCACCGGCUGCCUAACCUUACGGAGAAGUGACCGGAUAGUGGAGGACGGCCGAGCCCACCAUAAAUAUUUUCGAGGGGUUUGGAACCCGGGUCCUCCAGAGUGGAAAGCCCGAGCGUUUUCACGCCGUACGGUAGGGUGGCCAACCGUAUCGUUUUGACCCGAAGAUUCGGGGUUUGGCCACCAUGGUUCCAGCUUGGGUUUCAAAUAAAAUUAUUCGGGUUGUCUAAAAAUUAUAUCGGAUGGAUAAGAAGUUAAUUUUUUUUUAUAAACGUUAGUUAUUGUUACUUCACCUUCUAAAUAGGUAUUUAUGUG